UCUUAUCCCUGAACUGCUCCACCAGCCUCCUGACAAGGUGGAUAGCUUCUGUAGUGGAGCGACCCGGCAUGAAACCGAACUGGUUCACAGAUAUAGAUGUCAUCUCCCUCACCCUUGCCUCAAUUACCUGCUCCUAGACCUUCAUGGUAUGACUUAUUAAUUUGAUACCCCUAUAGUUGUCGCAGGACUGGAUGUCACCUUU
Molecule: long non-coding RNA, 202 nt
Filed under: Nicotiana benthamiana
Lineage: Eukaryota; Viridiplantae; Streptophyta; Magnoliopsida; Solanales; Solanaceae
Description: long non-coding RNA (NBEN_LNC034428)
Source: RNAcentral